RNAcentral lists this long non-coding RNA (4880 nucleotides) under Vitis vinifera (wine grape). Its description in RNAcentral is "long non-coding RNA (VVIN_LNC004103)". Lineage: Eukaryota; Viridiplantae; Streptophyta; Magnoliopsida; Vitales; Vitaceae. The record is from RNAcentral.
AGGUGGUGGUGGAGAGGGUGGCGGCGGCGGUGGUGGUUCCGCUAUCGGAGCUGGUUCAGGCUACGGUUCUGGAUAUGGUUCGGGUAGUGGUUCAGGGUAUGGUGGUUCUGACGGGUAUGAAAGUGGUGGAGGUGGAGGUGGGAGUGGCGGAGGAGGUGGCGGUGGUGGGGGAGCUGGAGCAUCCGGGUCUGGAUCAGGCUACGGUUCAGGAUUUGGAUCCGGGUCAGGAUACGGGUCAGGAAGUGGAGGCGGGAAAGGAGGCGGUGGAGGAGGGGGCAGAGGCGGAGGAGGAGGCGGAGGCUCUGGGUCCGGCGUCGGGAGUGGCUCCGGAUACGGAUCAGGGAGCGGAAGUGGGUACGGAAGCGGGAGUGGUGGUGGCAAAGGAGGUGGGGGAGGAGGAGGAGGCGGUGGAGGAGGAGGAGGCGGAGGCGGCGGGACUGGAGUUGGUUCAGGAUCCGGAUCCGGAUAUGGGAGCGGAAGUGGAUCGGGACAUGGAUCAGGAUACGGCGGCGGAGAGGAGGGUUUACCCUGAAGUUGAAGAAAUAACCUAGUUAAUAAAGUAGGCUAGGAUCAACGAGUGCAAUUAAAUAUGAAUAAAAAUAGCAACGCCCCAUCCACUUGGUGGACGUUGCAUGUGUGCGCAUGUACUUCUCUUCCUCUCAUUUGAUGUUUCUACUCUUAUCAAAUAAAGCCCCUCUCUUUCUAUAUUCUCCCGUGACCCGGUUAACAAAAUUACUAUGAUAGCUUAUUAUUUUUCACUUAAAAUUUAAACGAAAUAUUUUGACAUCAAUUAAUUUUAUAUUAGGUAGAAUUCGAAAUCUCAAUGAGGGAGGACGAAAGAAUAAAAAAGCUCAAAUCUAACUCCAUAUUCUUUUAAGGUUAAGAGGUGUAUACAAUCCCCAUAUCGAUCAAUAUAAUGUCGCGAUAUUAUCGGCAUUCGGCGAUUUUUCUCGAUAUAUCACAUAAUCAACGCGGGUCAAUGGAAGUCAAAAGCGUUAUAGUAAAGUCAAAUGUGCUACAGUGCGCCUCCCCCUUUGCUUCCGGAUAUAUAUAUAUAUAUAUAUAUCAUAAUCUAUUUUAUAUUAUUUAAUAAAAUUAAAUUAAAUGGAUCAUAUUUUAAUAUUAAUGUAUAUAUUAAAAUGAGACAUAUUAUAAUCAAAUAUCAUAAUAUUAUAUGUAAUUUAAUAAUAAAUGUACACUUAUAAAAUUCAUAUUUUUAUCGAUGCAUACGAUAUUAUUAUCAAAUAUGAUAAAUCAUGUUAUACACAUAUCAAAAUUUUCAAUAAAAUAACUUUAAAAUGUCUAUUAUACUUCUAAUUAUAUUAUUAUGAGGUUUUCUUUAUAUUUUCAUGAGUUUUUAACAAUUUUAAACUUAUCGAUAUUUUUUUCCAAAAUAUCCGCCGAUAUAUCCUCGAUAUAUCCGAUAUAUCUGUAAAAUCGAAGUACCGAUAUAUCCGUAAUUACCGAUAUUUUCAUCCUUACUUAUAAUCUUGCAAGGAAUCCAUAACUUGAAUUUUUGCUAUAAAUCCCGAUACACUCAAGUUAUAUACAAUGCAAAUGAUGUAUAUAUGAAUACUUAAAUAACAAAUAAUGCAAUCAAGGAUUAAAAAAACAGAGACCAAAAAUCAUAACAUAUAAACAUAUUAAUGAAAUCUUCUUCUAUUAUAUCAUGUCGUACUUUCAAAGGUUCUAUAUUAAGAGAUAUUAUUUUUAACAAAGUGAUCAAUUGAUACGGAAUAAUCUUAAAAUUAGGAAUAUGGAAUGUUUAUACUUUCACUUAAUCCAUAUAUUUAUUUGAAAUUGAAUAAUUAAACAAGUAAUUAAGAUUUUCAAGCAAUGUGUUAGUCCCAUCAAGGGACAACUCUCUCUCACUCUCCUCUAUAUUUUCUAUGGCAACAUGCAACAUAUAUAAUUAAUGUAAUAAAUUACAUCAAUUGAGGUGUUAAUAUACUUACUAUAUUAGUUAAUUGAUACAAAUACCAUAACAUUAUUUACAUGCAUAAAGAGAAAAGACAUAUAUUGUUAUCCAAAGGUGGUUUUGAAACCUCUAAACUUAAACAGAUAUUUCUCAUUAACCAAAUAGGUAUUUAGGCGUGAUCAACACACAAUGAAUUUAAUCAAAAGUUAUGUCAAACCCAUUGUUUUUAAGCAUACAAGAUGCAAGUGUCAAGCAAGAAACCGCAUGCAUUGUGGGAGGCUCCCCUCCACGUGUCCCUUUUCCAAAUCAGGCACCUUGUUCAACUAGCGGGCAUACAACCUGUCUGGAUCAUUCCAUAUGGAUCACGACCAGCUCCAUCUGGCACCAAUCAUAAAGAGGUCAUUUUCCCCUAUAGGGCCAGACGACAAGGAGAGACCAGACUCUCCAAGCAAACAGAACUAUCUGAUCAAGCCUUCAAAACCUACUAGCAUGCGUGAUCAUUCGCACCUGACAUGGGAAUGGCUGAUGAGACCUCUUCUAGCCCUCAAGCCUGUGUCGAUUAAAUGCUACACAUAGCCCCAGACCAACAACAGGCUGAGGGGACAAGCGACUGCACGGUCUGACAUUAUGGCACGUCAAUUGAUGGCACCUACCAGCCACCCAAAACUGUGAUGAUUGUCCAACCGCCUGCAGGACAAUCAUCAUUAUAGAAGAAAGUCAAAAAGAUUAGUCAGCACUACAGUGACAUUCUCAUCAGCAUUAUAAAAACCUUCCAAAAGCAUGAAUAAAGUACGCAAGAGAUACGCCUACUCACUCUCUCCCAUUAAGAUCGUUUGAACUGUCUUUGUCUGACUUAAGCUUCGGAGGGGCAUGCCCGGACCACCUGUUCGGACAUCCUUUUGUGUAGGAAAUGAGUUCACCCAGUCUCACUACUGUUGGGCAAAUACUCUAAGAGACACAACGAAGAGAGGAAGAUUGUCUAACCUCCAUUGAGCUGGACGAAUCCGACGCGGGUUGGCUCUGAAGCAACAUGCAUGACAACUUAACAUGAUCUCAUUCUCAUAGUGUACCAUGCAUAGGCAUUCUCAUAUUCAUGCAAACUUUCAUGGAUUGUUUAUGAGCCGUAAGUACCACUACACAUGAUCCCAUCAAACUUAUGUUAUUUGGGUUUAAGUUUGUCAUGGAUGUACACAUUGUAUCAUAUAAGAUGUACAUAUUUUUACAUAGGAUAUACAAAUUUUAUCAAAGCAUGCACUUAACAUAACUAAGAGGUACAAACUGAUCGCUUGUUCUGCUCCAAAUCAUCAUGUCAUGUUUAUGAAGGCACUUGGAAACAUAUAUUAAUUUUGAUAUCAUAAAAAUCAUACUGAAAAAAAAAUGUAUCUAUUUUAGUAUAUAUUUUGUUACAUGCCUGUUAUGGUUAAUAUAUAAGUAAUAUUUCCUUUUGUUUAUAUUUUCAUUUCAUGAUAACACUCAUUAUUAAAAUCAAUAGAUCUAACAUGGUUGUGAGCUAGUACCAGUUUCAUUAACCUCCCCUUCACUUUUUUUAUGCCUUCUUUCUUGAUUGAUAUAAGAUAAACCCAUCCCCAAACGACAACUCGGUCCCUCUCUCCACUCUUUCACUCUUUGCAUGAAAGAUGGAAAUAUAUGGAUCUAUCUGUCCAUAUAUGAAGUUUGAGAGAUUAGUAAUUUCGUAUACGGAAGCAUGAAAUUUUCAGUGUUGGAACUCUUGGGCAAAAUCUUCCCCCAAGUCAAAAGUGGAAGAAUAUAUUAUAUAGUUUACAGAAUCGAAUGAAGACACGAAGGAAGAAAAUGGUGACACCAUCUCCACCAACACCAACACCACUAAUUCUCCGCACACAAUUUCCAAUCCCCAUUGUAAAAUACUCUCAAGUGCAGAUGAAGCUACUAGAUUUUCCACCUUGAAAAUGCCUAUAUAUUCUCACACUGCCUUGCCAACUUCACUCACAAUUCAGUCCUACCAGUCUGAUUCAUUCAAUUAAAGUUGUUUCCAGAAUGGGGAGGCUGUCUCGGGUGAUAGGAUUUGCAUUAUUGCUUUUGCUUCUUCUGGAGCUCUCCGCUGCUAGGACCUCCAAGAAGAUAGGUGUUAAUGGAGGAGGUGGGGGAGAGGGUGGUAGUGGUGGCGAAGGUACGGGACUUGCAGAUGGUUCCGGGUAUGGUUCAGGAUAUGGGUCAGGUGAAGGAUACGGAAAUGGUGGUGAANNNNNNNNNNNNNNNNNNNNNNNNNNNNNNNNNNNNNNNNNNNNNNNNNNNNNNNNNNNNNNNNNNNNNNNNNNNNNNNNNNNNNNNNNNNNNNNNNNNNNNNNNNNNNNNNNNNNNNNNNNNNNNNNNNNNNNNNNNNNNNNNNNNNNNNNNNNNNNNNNNNNNNNNNNNNNNNNNNNNNNNNNNNNNNNNAGGGAGAAGGAAGUGGUUAUGGAAGCGGGAGCGGUGGGGGCAGAGGAGGAGGUGGAGGAGGAGGAGCAGGUGGAGGUGGUGGUGGAGGUCGAGGUGAGGGUGUUGGAAAUGGGCAUGGGUCUGGAUACGGAAGUGGAUCUGGUUAUGGGUCAGGAUCCGGCGACGGAGGGGAAGAUUCACCAUGAGGCAUAAUCAAGUACGAGUACUACUACUUAAUAACGGCAUCAUUCACCCUGUAAAUUUCAAAUAAAUUUGCCUUGAUCUCGGUAAGACAAAUAAAAAGUUGCCUUCUCCAUGUAAAAUGGUAUAAUGUAAUACCUCCUAAUGAUGAAAUAUCAAACAUGGUUUUUUAGUAUUAACUUAUUUGUUUUCUCCCAUCUUUUGCCCUUUUUCCUUUUAGCUUUUUGCUUUUAUCUUUUUUAGAUAAGAUAGUUUAAUUCGUUAGCCUAAUCAAGUGUUCUUCUUUUUUUUCUUAUUUUAUUUUAUGUCAUCACAUAAUGCCUGGCACAUUAUUUCUAUUUUUUAUUUUUCUUUUUCGUUUUUUAAU